AUUUGUCAAGUCCUAGAACCGGGUGGUCCAGACACCUCACUGAUCUAAGAACAUGAGUGGAGAGAAGGAAGAGGCAUCGCUCAGAAUGUUCGGGGCUUAUGGUGAGCCAGAGGAGAGGAGGGAUGUGCUGGAAAGCUCUGGCGUUUCCUCUCAGCCUGAGCCACAAGUGCAGCAGCAACUGGGCAGUCUGUUGGGAGUGCCCUGGCAGCCCCCGGGCCCCCCAAUACAGCACAGCCCUGCUGAUCAAGAGACAAGCACGGUGACCCAGCAGCAGUGGCACCUCCAGGGCCUGGGUAGAUCUGAGCUCCAGGCCGCUGGGCUCCCUGAUGCACAACCAGGAGAAGCAGCAGAGUCCAGCCCAAGCUUCCUACUGGGUUCUGAGGUUGGUG
Molecule: long non-coding RNA, 389 nt
Filed under: Homo sapiens (human)
Lineage: Eukaryota; Metazoa; Chordata; Mammalia; Primates; Hominidae
Description: non-protein coding lnc-ZNF23-2:1
Source: RNAcentral